CAAGAUUUCUUCCGCAACCAAAGUAUGUUUGUCCUCUUUCAUAUUACUCCAGAAUAGAACCCCUUGUGUUACUGGUUUUAUCUUUUUAUUUUUGGUCUUGAACUCUAUGCAUGGUAUGCAAGAGUGUAAGAAGUGAAAUGGAGAGAUGAAUGGUUGCCUUAGUAAAAAGUGAAGUGACUUGAGCAUAACAAUGAAACUGUGAAUUUGAAGUCUUAACAUGCUGUGUGAUGGACAUUGGGCCAGCUUUUGUUUACUUGUGGUCUUAGUGAAAUGGAGAGAUGAAUGAUUGCCUCAGUAAAUAUUGAUCUAACGUGUGAUUAGUAUCAGUUGUCUGGCGAGUGUGCUUAUUCUCCAUUUUGUGAUACGUUGUGACCUAUUGCAUCGAUAGAUUCUUUCAAGAAUUCAAGUAGUAUUAGUUGGGAUAUUAUUCUGUGCAUUUAUGGGUUGAUUGAAUUUUUUAAGAUACUUGUCUUUCCCAUAUCAUGAGUUCAUGGGGACAUUAGGGAUGAUUUCUACAACUCAAUGCUACUGUAUCAUUUUCUGUGUAGGAUGAAAACUGGAGCUCCUGUGUUCUCUCUCUCUGUCUCUCUCGUGUCUGCAGUCUCAUUUCCAAAUUAUUAUGGCUAUUGAAGCAAUGUACUAGGGCUUAUUGAGUUUGGUGGACAUCAGUUCCCAAAUUCUUUUUCUGAUUAGUAUAUUAAUUCAGUUCUUGAAAUUGUGGUCUCUUACCCUUGUGCAUACCCUAUGCUUCUGCAUCGCAACUAGUUGUUCAUAUGAGUGAUAUUAAUUAUGAACUUCUUUUGUACAAUAAUCAGAACAUUUAAUGAAUCUGGUGGUGGUGUUAUAGUUAUUUUCGGAUUGUUUAAAAUUUAAAACAAAUCAUAAUAUCUAUAGUAUUGUUUCAGGGGACAGGCACAAGCUGCUGCAAGAGGCGGUCGUGGAGGAGGCAGAGGUGGGGGCCGUGGAGGUGGUGGCUUUCGUGGAAGGGGUGGUCCAAGAGGUGGCCGUGGUGGGCCUGCUAGAGGAGGUGGCCGUGGUGGUGGCUUUAGGGGCAGAGGUAGAUGAUAGAAGAACUUCGUGUGACAUUAUUGGUGCUUUUCUCUUUGGAAAUUUUCAUUUUAAAGUGCAAUGGACAAACAACAAUCAAUAUUUGGAUACUAAUCUGAACUUUGUUGUUAAUGAAGUGAUUUUUGUUGCUCUGUUGGGUAUAUUUCUAACCUCUAAAUGUUCAAUGAUCAAUUGUUCAACCUUCUUUAGGGUUUCUA
Molecule: unclassified non-coding RNA, 1265 nt
Filed under: Hevea brasiliensis (rubber tree)
Lineage: Eukaryota; Viridiplantae; Streptophyta; Magnoliopsida; Malpighiales; Euphorbiaceae
Source: RNAcentral